CAGACUCUUUCACAUAGGGCUCUUUCAUACCACACUUGUAGCAUUGUGAUUCCACUUACCUGCUAUGGCAACUUACUAUGGAAUCUCAGAGUUUGCAGUUGUUGUUGUUGUUGUUGUUGUUGUUGUUGUUGUUGUUGUUAUACGAGGGCUAUCCAGAAAGUACAUUAAGUUUUGAAAUUAAAAAUAAACAAAGUAUAGGAGAAACCAUACCAUAUGCAGUUGAAAGCCACACCCGAGUACCACAUCUCACGUAGUCGUCAACCACUUGUAUUCAACAAUGGGGGCGUGGCUGGCAAUGCAGCAUUUUGGCGACACUGCACAGCUGCGGAAACGGGGAAGGGUUGACGACGGAGGUGGCAGAAUUUAGUGGGGAAGGAGUUUCCAAGCUCAUUUAUCGCUAUGAUAAGUGCCUAGAUUUGAAUGGCGACUACGUGAAAUGUGGUAUUUGGGUGUGGCUUUCAACUGCAUAUGGUAAACAUUUUCUCUUAUACUUUGUUCAUUUUUAAUUCCAAAACGUAAUGUACUUUCUGGAUAACCCUUGUAUCAUGUAGCAUGAAAGCACCACUAGCUACAAUGUUAUUCCCAGACAAUCAAAGCUGAACCUGUUCCUCACACUGUGUGCACUCUGUCCUACCAUCCUCCUGCCCCGAUUCCUCCACAUUUAUUUUAGGUAAAAAGAAAUCCUAAUAGCACCAGCUGGAGGCUCAUAAUUAUCAGGAACAGAGCAAGUGCCAGUGGAGAAUAUGUUUCCAAUGGAAAUACUAGAGUCAGAAAAAGAUUUUCCCUCAAGACAGAGCAAGAGAAAGGAGGUUAAAUUCCCUCUCCGUGCCUCCUGUGAUCUUAUGAUUUAUGAAUUCCCCAGCUGAUGUGAUUUGCAUUAAAAAUAAAAAAAGGAAAAGCUUCACCUUAAUUUCAGAGAUGCAUUUAAUGUCAUGUAUAGUUUACUCAUCAGAUUUUUUUCCCCCCAUCAAAGCUCUUCAUUCUUAGAAAUCUGGGAAAUUGAACUUGUAGGUAGAAAGCAUUUUAAACCUCAGUUCCAGCCUCUGACAUGUAAAAAAAAAGAUCAGUGUUUUAUCAUACCUAUACAAUGGAAGAAAGGACUUAGAGCAGAGCUUGGACAUGUAACUUUUGACUACAUCUAACACAAUUCCCUUGACAUUCUUCACAUAUCAUGAUAAAUCAAAAAUAUUUUGGAUGAAAAAUCCAUUCUGACUGGGGAUUCUGGGAGAUGUCAUCCACAAAAGUAUUCUCCCCCCCAAACAGAUGCUUUGGUCUAUUGUGAUCUAGGAAGCGAUUUUUCAAGAAGAGAGUAGGAGGCAAAUCAAAGAAGUGCCUUGCAGGCAAUGGAGCAGAGAGAGGAUGACGACCAGGAAGAAGGAGGAGGUGAAAUCACAGUUGUCAGUGGAAAAAGCGGGUGACACUCUUGGAGAGCUUGAGGAGGUCAAUAAAUCACCACCCUUAUCUUGCAAACAGAGCCUGUGACUUCAAAAAUUAGCUCAUUUAUUCUGCACAAUUAAAUUUAUUGAAGUGUGACAGAAAAAGUUUAACAAGCACUGAAGCAGAAAGCCAGCAACAACAGAAGCAAGCAUCGGAGUGAAGUACACAAUUAGUUGAUUUUCAUUUUAUUUAUCAAUAUAAUUAUUGAAUUGUAUUUAUCCUAUUUCACAGAUUUUUACUAUUAUCGCUGGAUGGACUCAGGGGAAGAAUUAGGUCAUUUUUUAAAAGUCUAACUUAAUGUGAUUAUAGACUAGCUAUUAAAAGAAAACUUCUCUGAAAUACUCUGCAAUCCUGUAUUCAAUGAGGCCACAUCAUCUGGCUGCGAAAUUGAGUCUUUUUCACUCUGAAAGAAUUAAAUUCAAUAUGCGCUGUGAACACAAUGCUUUAAUUUAGACUCUGCCACCCUCCAAGAGAGUCUACUCCACUGUUGAACAGCUUUUAAGAGCAGGUAGUUCUUCCUAAUGUUUAGGUGAAAUCUCUUUUCUUUAAAUUUUAAUUCACUUGUCCAUUUCUGAGUCUCCAAAACAGCAGAAUACAAACUUGCUGUUUUCCUUCCACAAUGUGAAGGUAACUAUCAUUGGUUUCCAAGCCCUUUACCAUUUUGGUCACUUUCCAAUGGACACAUUCCAGUUUGCCAAAAUUCUUCUUCUGUGGAACUCAAAACUGCAUGUUUUUAUAAUUCACCUUAUGGAAUCUGAUGAAACAGAGGGAGUAGACUCUAGUUUUGAAAGGCUUCUGUUUCAAAUGACAGAUCUCUCACUAAAUCUGAGCAGGAUGUAGCAGAAAUAAUUAUAGAAUCAUAGAGUCCAACCCCCUGCAAGAAGCAGGGAAAUUGCAUUCAAAGCACCCUCGACAGAUGGUCAUCCAGCCUCUGCUUAAAAGCCUUCAAAGAAGGAGCCUCACCACACUCUGGGGCAGAGAGUUCUACUGCUGAACAGCUCUCACAGUGAGGAAGUUCUUCCUAAUGUUCAGGUGAAAUCUCCUUUCCUUAAUUUGAAGCCAUUGUUCCGUGUCCUAGUGUCCAGGGCAGUAGAAAACAAGCUUGCUCCCUAUGACUUCCCCUCACAUGGCUAUCAUGUCUCCUCUCAGCCUUCUCUUCUGCAGGCUAAACAUGCCCAGCUCUUUAAGCCGCUCCUCAUAGGGUUUGUACUCCAUACCACUGAUCAUUUUAGUCGCCCUCCUUUGGACACAUUCCAGCUUCUCAACAUCUCUCUUCAAUUGCAAUGCCCAAAAUUGGUCACAGUAUUCCAGGUGUGGUCUGACCAAGGCGGAAUAGAAGGGUAACAUGACCUCCCUGGAUCUAGACACUAUACUCCUAUUUAUGCAGGUCAAAAUGCCAUUGGCUUUUUUUGCUACAGCAUCACACUGUAGGCUCAUGUUUAACUUGUUGUCCACGAGGACUCCAAGAUCUUUUUCACACGUACUGCUGUCAAGCCAGGCGUCCCGUAUUCUGUAUCUUUGCAUUUCAUUUUUUCAUUUUUCAUAAUUGAUCAGAAACUUCAGGGAGAUGCCCCCAACCCCCACCUUUGAAUGGCCAGAAUUCAGGGACAGUAAGGAGACAUCCCCUUUUUAGCACAUCAGCAGUAAUGGGAGCUGCACAAAAGAGGCAGUGCCUCUUGCAGAGGCUUAAAUGAGAAACACUGAGCAAUUAGCCACUGGCAUCUCAAAAAUCAGGUAGCUAUAAAUUUCUCAGCAGCUCUUGGUCUUGUUGUUUUCAAUAGUUUGUUUUUGGCAACUCUUUCUUCUACCAGGCUUUCAGAAACCUUCAUGCUUGUUGGUUUACUUUGGAUUCUUGAUCUCUGGACUGGGUUAUAUUUUACACCUCAAUGUUUUUUUCCUUUUCACUUUGGUUAUUGACUACUGGCUUCUCAUGACAAACUAUGGAAUGACCUCUCAGCAGACUUCAACAUCAUUGACCAUGGUAUCCUUCUGGAACUCCAGGAGCGGCUGGGAAUCGAAAGAACUAUGCUGCAGUGGUUCUGGUCUUACCUCUUAGGCAGUUUCCAGAUGGUGGCACUUGGAGAUAACUGCUCCUCAAAAAAAGAGGUGUUAUGUGGUAUCCCACAAAGUACCAAUCUAUCCCCAAUGCGCUUUAAUAUUUACAUGAACACACUGAGAGAGAUCAUCCAUAGUCAUGGGGGUAGGGUGUUCUCAGUAUGCUGAUGACACCCAAAUAUAUUUCUCCAUGCCUUCCAAAACAGCAUAAGCUAAAGAUUGUGUCUUCUCUGAGUGAAUGCUUGGAGAAUAUAAUGGGCUGGAUGAGGAAAGGCAAAUUAAAAUUGAAUUCAGACAAAAUAGAGGUGCUUGCCAUCAAACGUCCACAUCUGGGGAUAUAUGUGUGUUGACCAGUUUUCGAUGGGGUUACACUCCCCCUGAAGAACUGUGUUUGCAGCCUGGGAGUGCUCCUGGAGCCAUUCCUCCAAAUUUCAGCCCAGGUAGAUGCGAUGGUCAGGAGUGCUUACUAUCAGCUUCAGUUAAUCUGCCAGCUGUGCCCCUUCUUAAGAUUUAGAGGACCUGAAGGUGGUAGAGCAUGCAUUGGUAACCUCAAGGUUGGAUUUCUGCAAUGUGUUUUACAUUGGGCUACCCUUGUACCAUUCAGAAAUUCCAGCUGGUUCAAAACACGUCAGAUCGGUUAGAGGAACAUCUAGGAGUGAGCAUAUUACACCUAUCCUAAAGUCACUCCACUGGCUGCCAAUUAGUUUCCAGGCAAAGUAACAAGGUGUUUGUUUUGACCUUUAAAGCCCUAUAUGGCUUGGGUCCAGGUUACCUAAAGGAUUGUCUUCUCCAUACAAUCCGCCCCGUACACUUCAGUCUUCUGCUCCAACCAGACAGAACUCAACUGGCAACCGUCACCCAGAGGACCUUUUCAUUGGCCAUCUCAAGACUGUGGAACGACCUACCGGAAAAACUCUAACAAAUGAAUGAGCCGACGGAAUUUUGAAACCAUAUGAAGACCUAUCUCAUCUGGCAGGCCUACCUAGACAAUCUUUAAACAUGAAUUUUAAAUGUGUGUCUUUUGUUUAAUCUCUGUUUUGUGUAUUUUAAUACAUAUUUUAUAGGGAUAAGUUUUGGUGUGUAACUUUUAUAGAGGUACAUUUUAAUAUGUGUAUUUGUGGUAUUUUUGCUGUGCUUAUGUGUUUUAAUUGUUCUGUAACUCACCUCGAGCCAUGAGGAGAGGUACAGUAGAUAAGAAAUAAAAUUAUUAUUAUUUUUCUUUUCAGGAUAA
Molecule: long non-coding RNA, 4723 nt
Organism: Anolis carolinensis (green anole)
Lineage: Eukaryota; Metazoa; Chordata; Lepidosauria; Squamata; Anolidae
Exons: 2
Source: RefSeq, a predicted model, not a curated record